CUCAUUGCGUCCACAGAAAUUGACGAAAUAUGCACUAUUUUUCCUUAUGUUCCUCCAUUUCUUGUUGAUAAUCCAGCGUGUUAUCUUCCCCCAUACAGAUAUUGGCCUGUGAUGUUGCUGCAGCUAGAUAGCAGCUGCUGUUUAUGCCAUCAUACUGUAUCAUCUUGAUGCACUCUCAAUUGAGUCAGCCACGUUUAUGUAUUGAAUGAAAGCAGACAAAAUUCCAACAAUUAGAACAAUUCUCAAGCGAAUUGCACCAUUCGUAAAACAACCCAAAAUCUAUACAAAGACUUUAACAAUAAUGGGAAACAUGUGUGGAAAGCUGGAAGAUGGAAAUAACACUAGCAAACACUCGGCACGUGACGGAAACAUGUUUCGAUAUGAUCCGUCUAGCUAUUCUUUGAAUUUCGAUGAUGGAAGACGAGAAAAUAAUGUGAAAGUUAAUAUGCCUGGUGGGUUUUCUUCAAAAAUUUCAACUCCUCAAUCCAAAAAUCUUCUGGAGAGAUAAAUGAUGAAGAUACAGUUAAUAAAGAAAAUAUGCAUGUAAUCAAUGUACCAUAACCAACUAUACAUGUAUAUUGAAAAGUAACUGCAUUAUAUAAUGAAUUUAAAGAAAAAUAAUAAAAAGAAAC
Molecule: long non-coding RNA, 632 nt
Organism: Brassica rapa (field mustard)
Lineage: Eukaryota; Viridiplantae; Streptophyta; Magnoliopsida; Brassicales; Brassicaceae
Source: RefSeq, a predicted model, not a curated record